AGAAGUGCUAGCGGCAGACGGGUGAGUAACACGUAGUCAACCUAUCUUUUCGCCCGGGAUAACUAGCCGAAAGGUUAGCUAAUACCUGAUACGAUCAUCGAGUGGCAUCACUUGAUGAUGAAAGCAGCAAUGCGCGGAUUGAGGGGGCUGCGGCCCAUUAGCUAGUUGGUGAGGUAACGGCCCACCAAGGCAACGAUGGGUAGCUGGUCUGAGAGGACGACCAGCCACACUGGGACUGAGACACGGCCCAGACUCCUACGGGAGGCAGCAGUGAGGAAUUUUCCACAAUGGGGGAAACCCUGACGGAGCGACGCCGCGUGCGGGAGGAAGGCCUUCGGGUCGUAAACCGCUGUCGAGGGGGACGAUUAUGACGGUACCCCUGGAGGAAGCCCCGGCUGACUACGUGCCAGCAGCCGCGGUAAGACGUAGGGGGCAAGCGUUGUUCGGAAUUAUUGGGCGUAAAGCGUGCGUAGGUGGAUUCGUAAGUCGGGGUUGAAAUAUCCGGGCUCAACUCGGGGACCGGCCUCGAUACUGCGGAUCUCGAGUCAAGAAGAGGGUAGUAGAAUUCCCGGUGUAGCGGUGAAAUGCGUAGAUAUCGGGAGGAAUACCAGUGGCGAAGGCGGCUACCUGGUCUUGCACUGACGCUGAGGCACGAAAGCUGGGGAAGCAAACGGGAUUAGAUACCCCGGUAGUCCCAGCUGUAAACGAUGAAUGCUAGGUGUAAGGGGUAUCGACCCCCUUUGUGCCGCAGUUAACACAAUAAGCAUUCCGCCUGGGGACUACGGCCGCAAGGUUAAAACUUAAAGGAAUUGACGGAAUCGA
Molecule: ribosomal RNA, 822 nt
Filed under: uncultured bacterium
Lineage: Bacteria
Description: bacterial SSU rRNA
Rfam family: Bacterial small subunit ribosomal RNA
Source: RNAcentral